RNAcentral lists this ribosomal RNA (253 nucleotides) under uncultured bacterium. RNAcentral's name for it is "partial 16S ribosomal RNA". It matches the Rfam family "Bacterial small subunit ribosomal RNA", at positions 524 to 776 of the family's 1533-position model. The record is from RNAcentral.
GACGAACCGUACAAACGUUAUUCGGAAUUACUGGGCUUAAAGGGUGCGUAGGCGGCGCGGAAAGUAGGGUGUGAAAUCCCUCGGCUCAACCGAGGAAUUGCGCCCUAAACUACCGUGCUUGAGGGAGAUAGAGGUGAGCGGAACUUAGGGUGGAGCGGUGAAAUGCGUUGAUAUCGGAAGGAACGCCGGUGGCGAAAGCGGCACACUGGAUCUCAACUGACGCUGAGGCACGAAAGCCAGGGGAGCGAACGGG